GACGAGGGAUUGAGAUCUAGCGUCGGGAUUGAUCAGUCUUUGGAGUCCGAAUUCGGAGACGAGAGGCUCGCCGUCGUCGGAGAGAAAUAUAUUGCUCGAUUUCAAGUUUCCGUGUGGCAAGCUUAGAAACCCUAACUCUUCGUGGAGGUACCACAUCCCUCUCGCGAUUCCUUGAAUGAUUUUAAGCCGAGACGGCCAAUCUAAUUGAAAAUCCUCGCCGUGGUCGCCGUGUAAUCGGUGAAGCAAACUCAGAUUUGGGACGAAUUCGAACACCAGUAGUUUCUCGUCUCGCCGGAAAUGGUAAGCAAGAGGAGGUAAUAUGUUCAUGUGUCUUAAGCUUCCUAGUUUCUUAAUCUCCUUGUCGAAUACAUCUGUACUCACUUGAUUCAUCACCGUCACACGCUUCACCACCACCGUAACGCCGCUCGCGAUCACCGCCUUGUAAGCAGACCCCACGCCUCCGCUGCUGCUAGGACGGCUACUUCCACCGCCGGGAUUUCCGAGAACGUGAGCCGCUGCUUUCAUCAAGUCAGACAAAGCAAAAACACCCUUUUCUUUGUUCACCAUCACCAAAUCCGCCGUUGAUUUAUUCGUCAACUCGCCGGAGCGACUGGUCUUACUCUGCCUUUCUCCACCAGUUCUUGAUCCAUCAACAGUUACCUAUCAACCACAUCAAGAAUUAGUGUUUGUGAGUUACAAAAACUCUCUUUUAGCGUUUUUGAUAGCAGUGAAUUCAUAUAUAUAGGCAUUGCUCUGUGAAUAAACCUGAAUCUGGUGGUCGUCGUUGCUGUCUUGUUCAGUGGUACGACGCGUCCGCCUCCUGCGUCUCUUCUUUUUCUUCUUCUUGAAGACUAAGGAGAUGAUGAUAACGAUAAAAAGGACUCCUAGUGUACCGAAUGCUAUAUAGUAUUUGCUCUUGUUUGCAUCUUUCAUUGUUCCUUCUAUAGAAAUUGAUGCACUCCGAUUUCUUGUGUGCGUGCAGGGAGUCGCUAGUUUCGCACCGCAAAGGCCAGGGUUCCCCGCGAAAAUCCUCGCGUCGAAUUUGGAUAAACCGGGUGGUAUUUCUCCGGAUAACCGGUUGUUUGAGAGAUCGACAUCAGCUAAAGUCGAUUGGUUAAACUUCGGUAUAACACCGAUGAACUGGUUGUUUUCGAGGUGUAACUCCAUUAGAUUUGGCAAUGUAGUGGCCAAAGAAAGAGGAAUGAGGCCAGAGAACUCGUUGUUGGAUAGCCAAGCUUUCUUUAGAGAGACCAUGUUUUCGAAAUAAUCAGAAGGGAUGUUACCAGAGAAUCGAUUGCCUGAUAAGUAAAUCGAUUUCAGAGCGGUUAAUCGGUUAAACUCGGGUAUAUUACCGGAGAAUGAGUUGUUCAUUAUGCUUAUGGUGCGUAAAUCGGGUAGGUCAGCUAAUGGUGUGACGUCGAUGUUCCCCGAGAGACCCAUCUUUUCGAUCUGGAGGCCAAAGACUGUGUUUUUGUUGCAGAGCAAUCCAACCCAUCUUUGUGUUCCUCCACAAGGCUCUGAAUCUGGUGUCCAAGAAUCGAGAGACUUGGUGUUGGUUAAUGACUCCUUGAAUUUCAACAAUGCUUCUGAUUCGGUUCUCGAAUUUGCAGAAAGUGCUGUUAGAGAUAGCACGAACGGCCAGAUUAGCCAGGCCACGGCCAUUUAACUCUUAACCGGAGCUAGGCCGCCGGGGUUUUUUUAGAAACUUGUGUUUUUUUAUGUUCUUGUUCAGAGUAGUUUUUUUUGUCGCUGAUUCGAUUUACUAAUUUUCUCUGUUUCUGUCUUGUUUCUCGCUCUGACUCUGUUUCUCUGUCUUGUGUUUUUCUUUGUCAUUUGUGAUCCAUUGGAUGAGAGAAACUUAGGAGCUUAUGGCGCGAAUGUAAGUUGAAAGAGUCAAGAUUGAGAAAAGCAAAAUCGAUUACGAAAUAAUUGGGAAAUGUGUUUUUUUUUGUUGUUUGGCCAAUGGCCCAAUGCUACUAUUUAUUAGGAUUUUUUAUUUGGGAUU
Molecule: long non-coding RNA, 2005 nt
Filed under: Eutrema salsugineum
Lineage: Eukaryota; Viridiplantae; Streptophyta; Magnoliopsida; Brassicales; Brassicaceae
Description: long non-coding RNA (ESAL_LNC000048)
Source: RNAcentral